CCAAUAGCGUAUAUUAAAGUUGUUGCAGUUAAAAAGCUCGUAGUUGAAUUUCGGGAUCAGUACGUUGGUCGUGCCUUGGUAUGUACUGGUGUCACUGAUUCCUCCCUUCUGACGAACCGUCAUGCCAUUCACUUGGUGUGGCGGGAAAUCAGGACUGUUACUUUGAAAAAAUUAGAGUGUUUAAAGCAGGCUCGCGCUUGAAUACAUUAGCAUGGAAUAAUGAAAUAGGACGUUAAUCCUAUUUUGUUGGUUUCUAGGAUCGACGUAAUGAUUAAUAGGGAUAGUUGGGGGCAUUAGUAUUCAAUUGUCAGAGGUGAAAUUCUUGGAUUUAUUGAAGGCUAACUACUGCGAAAGCAUUUGCCAAGGAUGUUUUCAUUAAUCAAGAACGAAAGUUAGGGGAUCGAAGACGAUCAGAUACCGUCGUAGUCUUAACCAUAAACUAUGCCGACUAGGGAUCGGAUGAUGUUAAUUUUUUAAUGACUCAUUCGGCGCCUUACA
This 498-nucleotide ribosomal RNA is filed under the name uncultured Glomeromycotina. Its description in RNAcentral is "partial small subunit ribosomal RNA". It matches the Rfam family "Eukaryotic small subunit ribosomal RNA", at positions 591 to 1092 of the family's 1831-position model. The record is from RNAcentral. Lineage: Eukaryota; Fungi; Glomeromycota.